Molecule: ribosomal RNA, 915 nt
Filed under: Triticum aestivum (bread wheat)
Lineage: Eukaryota; Viridiplantae; Streptophyta; Magnoliopsida; Poales; Poaceae
Description: partial small subunit ribosomal RNA
Source: RNAcentral
AUGUCGCAUUCUCGGCCUCGCCGGGACUGGGAGGAGGACCAUGGCGGUGCUGGUGGUGAAGACCGGCGGGGAUCACCGCAGGCGAAGCGACCGAGAGGCUGCUGCUCCUGCUCUUGCUGCCUAGAGAAAAAAGAUUUCUACGAGAGCCAAAAUGAAAUACUCAAGAAGGAAAUGGAAUGUAUGUCAAAGGGUUUCGUGGAGGAGCGCAAAACCCUGCAGAAAGAGAUGCAACAAUUUUACCAAAGUUCCCAGCUGCAGCUCCAUGAACUAAUCACUGAGCAAGGCAGGAGGAUGCAAGAAUGUCACAAGAAUUUCCGGCUAAUAUGGGAACAGUUAAACAACCAACUUUUGAAGAUAGAAAAUUCUGGAGACCAUGUUCAGCAAUACAGUAAUCCCAGGACUUGCUCUGAUGAAGGCGAACAUAGAAAAUAUCGAAUGAAAUUUGAGAACAAAUGCUGCGAUACCCAGUACUCGAGACAAGACAUAAUGGCAGAUGAUGAUCAUCCUCUAAAGGUAGCUAUAUAUGAUUGUGAUAACAGGAUCAUUACAGAAGGACCCUUAUCCUCAAUUCAAGUUAAGGUUGUUGUCCUUCACGGUGAGUUUAACAAUGAUCAUAAAGAGCAUUGGAAGCGAGAAUACUUCCAUGAGAAAAUGAUAUCUAGCCGGCCUGGAAAACCACCAUUACUUUCUGAAGACUUGUAUCCAAGGUUGGAGGGUGGUAUGGCUAACAUCUAUGGUGUCAAAUUCCAAGACAAUUCAAGUUUUGUUCCAAGCAAAAGAUUCAGGCUCGGAGUCAUGGCUGCUGAUGAUAGUAUGUCAGAGAAGAUCCAGGAAGGAAUAUCUGAAUCUUUUGCCGUAAGGGAUCGUCGGGGAUUAUGUAAGUUUACACAGUUCUAUUCUAGCUUCGACAUUUAG